Long non-coding RNA from Amphimedon queenslandica, 584 nucleotides. RefSeq lists it as uncharacterized. The record is from RefSeq and is a predicted model, not a curated record. NCBI's taxonomy places the organism in Eukaryota, Metazoa, Porifera, Demospongiae, Haplosclerida, Niphatidae. The transcript is spliced from 3 exons.
UUCCUUGAUGGUUAGAAUGAUGGAAUCACCUAGUCAGGCUCCGCCUGACUAGGAAUCACCAGCGUAUGGAGAACCGUGACAUUGUUAUAGGAAGGAAGAAUGGGCAGCAUUUUAAGUUGGAAGUGUCUACCUGUACGUGGGCCCCGUCAAUUUUGAUUCUUCAUAAAUCAAUCAUAGAAUCAGACUAAUACCUAGCCCUUGGUAAUCAGGUUGGUAAGAUAUACAUAUGGGACACCACACAGAAUGAUGUCAUCAAGGGACGUCCAUCAGUGAUACUCUCUUCAGCUAAAUGCUUCACUGCAGUGAGACAAGUCACCUUCAGCAACGACAGCAAGACUAUCAUUGGUGUGUGUGAUAAUGGAACUGUAUGGAGGUGGGAUGCUAAAUCAUAAUAAAGAACCAAUAACACACUCACACACAAACUUAUUGUAAUACACUGUACAUCAGUAUACUGUGUAUACAGCAUUAUUUUUCUAACAAACAAUGAUACAUUUUAAUUAUCAUUCACUGAUGCUAAAAGUAAUAGUGUCAUGACUUGAACUGAAAUUGAAAAAUAAAAAGUUAUUUUGGUUUCUUGUGUACUU